Non-coding RNA from Nakaseomyces glabratus, 458 nucleotides. The record is from RefSeq and is a predicted model, not a curated record. Lineage: Eukaryota; Fungi; Ascomycota; Saccharomycetes; Saccharomycetales; Saccharomycetaceae.
GGUACGACUUCCGGUUCUAACCAUUGCGAGGCGGACCGUAUUUAAUACGUCUUUUCUUCUCCCUCACCAAGUCAUAUGCUUUUCCUGUCCUUCAUUGGAGAGGGAAACGUGUGACAAUGGUGGGGAAUCAGGGGGGAAAGGAGAGGUAUGGGAUUUAUGUGGACGAUCAACAUCGAGAAGGCCACCCGCAUGCGGUGGCUAACUUAUAUCGAACAUGGUUCUUGCCUUUUACCAGAACCAUCCGGGUGUUGUCUCCAUUUUCUCUAAAACAGGUAGCGCUGUCCUUGGGCUUCGUCCUUGUCCUCCGAACUGGAAACUUCCCUCCUAACUUUUUGGAACCUCUUCUCUUUUUGAACUUAGACUGUUUCUUCACAGAAACUGCUGGGCUAAAACCUUUUUUCAAAUUAAAUAUCAACUACGCUCUCUGAUAGCUAAUAUCAGAGAACCACCUCUCUCCU